RNAcentral lists this unclassified non-coding RNA (204 nucleotides) under Hevea brasiliensis (rubber tree). The record is from RNAcentral. Lineage: Eukaryota; Viridiplantae; Streptophyta; Magnoliopsida; Malpighiales; Euphorbiaceae.
CUUUAUUGAUUGAAUGGUUUUUUUCUUCUCGGUGAGCUGUUUGUUGUUGUUGCUUUUAGUUAGUAACGACGUUGUUUGAAUUGUUAGUUUAAAACGAGUCAUUAGAUGAAGUAUUUGUGGAAUCCCUCAAAAUCUCUUCGGAGCAAAUCAUAUGCAAGAAGUCAGUUCAAUUAAAUUUUAUUAGUAUAAUUCAAUUCAAUUUAU